CCUUUCUUAUUUGGGGUGGUUCGAGCUUGCCCUAGAAUCAUCCCCUCUUCUCCAAAUCAGUGAUUUAACUCCUCAAAUCCUUGCCUUUUUCCUUCCAAAAUCCUUUCCUCUCUGCCUCACAUUUAGUCUCCUAAGCUCCUUUCAAGUCUCUCUUGACCUAAUGGCUCCCAAAAUGAAGCUACCGCAAAGAAAAAAAUUUGUUCGUGGGUUGGAAGAUAGUGUGCACAGAAAGAGAUUAGCAACCGAGCCCUCUCCUGCUCCAAUCUCUGCUCCAGGUCCUGCUUCAGCUUCCACUCAGUCUCCAAUCAGCCCAAGCAAGGUACUUCUCUCUGACC
This 335-nucleotide long non-coding RNA is filed under the name Elaeis guineensis (African oil palm). RNAcentral describes it as "long non-coding RNA (EGUI_LNC036690)". The record is from RNAcentral. Lineage: Eukaryota; Viridiplantae; Streptophyta; Magnoliopsida; Arecales; Arecaceae.